This 581-nucleotide ribosomal RNA is filed under the name uncultured Niastella sp. Its description in RNAcentral is "bacterial SSU rRNA". It matches the Rfam family "Bacterial small subunit ribosomal RNA", at positions 102 to 681 of the family's 1533-position model. Lineage: Bacteria; Pseudomonadati; Bacteroidota; Chitinophagia; Chitinophagales; Chitinophagaceae. The record is from RNAcentral.
ACGGGUGCGGAACACGUACGCAACCUUCCUUCAAAUGGGGAAUAGCCUUUCGAAAGAGAGAUUAAUACCCCGUAACAUUUUCUGGUGGCAUCACUGGAUUAUUAUAGCUCCGGCGUUUGAAGAUGGGCGUGCGCCUGAUUAGGUAGUUGGCGGAGUAACAGCCCACCAAGCCUACGAUCAGUAACUGGUGUGAGAGCACGACCAGUCACACGGGCACUGAGACACGGGCCCGACUCCUACGGGAGGCAGCAGUAAGGAAUAUUGGUCAAUGGACGCAAGUCUGAACCAGCCAUGCCGCGUGGAGGAUGAAGGUCCUCUGGAUUGUAAACUUCUUUUAUCGGAGAAGAAACCCUAGCAUUCUUGCUGGGUUGACGGUACCCGAUGAAUAAGCAUCGGCUAACUCCGUGCCAGCAGCCGCGGUAAUACGGAGGGUGCAAGCGUUAUCCGGAUUCACUGGGUUUAAAGGGAGCGUAGGUGGGGUGGUAAGUCAGUGGUGAAAUCUCCGGGCUUAACUCGGAAACUGCCGUUGAUACUAUCAUUCUUGAAUAUUGUGGAGGUAAGCGGAAUAUGUCAUGUAGCGG